CCGCACGCGUCGGGAGAGAGCGCUGAUUGUUUUGUUGCAUCUGAAACAACAAUUGAGCGCCGCCGAAGGGGCACACCCACAAACUCUCAGGCAAAAGGACCGGCUGCGUCGAA
This 113-nucleotide non-coding RNA is filed under the name Burkholderia sp. Its description in RNAcentral is "Glycine sequence". It matches the Rfam family "Glycine riboswitch aptamer". From Rfam's summary of the family: This family represents the bacterial glycine riboswitch. Lineage: Bacteria; Pseudomonadati; Pseudomonadota; Betaproteobacteria; Burkholderiales; Burkholderiaceae. The record is from RNAcentral.